This 374-nucleotide ribosomal RNA is filed under the name uncultured organism. RNAcentral describes it as "partial 16S ribosomal RNA". It matches the Rfam family "Bacterial small subunit ribosomal RNA", at positions 527 to 897 of the family's 1533-position model. The record is from RNAcentral.
GUAGGUGGCAAGCGUUGUCCGGAAGUUAUUGGGCGUAAAGCGCGCGCAGGCGGUCCUUUAAGUCUGAUGUGAAAGCCCACGGGCUCAACCGUGAGGGUCAUUGGAAACUGGGGGACCUGAGUACAGAAGAGGAAAGCGGAAUUCCAAGUGUAGCGGUGAAAUGCGUAGAGAUUUGGAGGAACACCAGUGGCGAAGGCGGCUUUCUGGUCUGUAACUGACGCUGAGGCGCGAAAGCGUGGGGAGCAAACAGGAUUAGAUACCCUGGUAGUCCACGCCGUAAACGAUGAGUGCUAAGUGUUAGGGGGUUUCCGCCCCUUAGUGCUGCAGCUAACGCAUUAAGCACUCCGCCUGGGGAGUACGGCCGCAAAGGCUGA